This 274-nucleotide ribosomal RNA is filed under the name uncultured bacterium. RNAcentral describes it as "partial 16S ribosomal RNA". It matches the Rfam family "Bacterial small subunit ribosomal RNA", at positions 523 to 796 of the family's 1533-position model. The record is from RNAcentral.
AUACGGAGGGUGCAAGCGUUACUCGGAAUCACUGGGCGUAAAGCGCGCGCAGGCGGUCUUUUAAGUUGGAUGUGAAAGCCUACAGCUCAACUGUAGAACUGCAUCCAAAACUGUCAAGCUAGAGUCUGGGAGGGGAAUAUGGAAUUAGUUGUGUAGGGGUAAAAUCCGUAGAGAUAACUAGGAAUACCAAAAGCGAAGGCGAUCUUCUGGAACAGUACUGACGCUGAGGCGCGAAAGCGUGGGGAGCAAACAGGAUUAGAUACCCGAGUAGUCC